Equus caballus (horse) is the source of this 3201-nucleotide long non-coding RNA. NCBI's taxonomy places the organism in Eukaryota, Metazoa, Chordata, Mammalia, Perissodactyla, Equidae. The record is from Ensembl.
CCGGCCCCCUUAGACGGAGGUGGUGGGUCUGGCUUCUCCUGGGGUUCGUCAUAGGGUAGAAAGUGUGAGAAGCUUGGACUGACUUGGGUUCAAAUUUUGUCUCUCACACUCCAGCUGUGUGCCUCUGGGCUAGUGACCUCACCUCUCUGAGCCUUGGUUUUCUCCUUUUGAAAAUGGGCAAAAUAAUACAUUGUACAGGUUAUGUGGUGAAUCAAGUUAGAUUAUAGUUAGAGAGUACGUAGUGAGGUUCUGGUUUAUAGUAAGUGCUCCACAAAUCCAGCAUCUCACUUCUUCCCCCCAACAGAGCAGUUGGGCAGGCAGGAAUCAGAAGCUCAGAGAGGCAAAGGGACUUGACUAAGGGUGCACAGCAAGUGAGCAAAAAGUGGGCACCUACUUCCUUCCCUGGGAAUUCCUGUCAUCACUCUUGUGAAAGGGCCCAGCCCAUUUCCCAAUAGAAGGUUGAGGCGCCUGUCCCCUGCCUGUUCCCAGCCACUCCAGGACAAUGGAGAGGAGAGGUGAUUGUAAAGGUGACCACAGCCACCGAUGUUUUAGAGCUCCUGCAGUGGCCAGGCCCCAUGCUCUGUCAGUGCGAUUUCACUUCAUUCUCCAGACAACCCUGGGAAAUAAGAACUGCUAUUAUCCUUCCCAUCUGAGAGUCAAAGGAAGAAACUGAGGAUCAGAGAAGUCAAGAAAUUUGGACAAAGCCCCCUAGCAGGAAAAGUGGUGGAGCUGGAACUGGAGCUGAGAUUUAAGUGUCUUGACUCCCUGGAUUUCCCGGGAUGACCCUGAAUCUGCAGGCCCAUAAUCAUCUCUGAUUCUCUUUGCUGGGCUCCACCACACCAGUGGGAAGAUGAUAGAGAUCUUCAGGGACCUGGAGAAGAGGGAAGCAACACAGCAGGACCUAUCUUUAAUCCAGCAACAGGUUCCAGAAUGUUCCAGAGGGCAGAGGAUCGGUGUCUUCUGGAGGCAGCAGGAUGUAGGACUCGCAUCCACGGGAGCCACGGAGGGUGUGCGAGGAGCUGGGCACAGAGCAGUUGAUGUUCCCUAGCCAUCAGGACCAGAGUAGAAAACCAGGCUGGUGAGUGCCUUCUUUCUCCCCGCGAAGACGUAACCUGGGCGUUUGCCCCCCAGGAAAAGGCUUCAGCCUAGUCUAGCAGAAUAGCUUUGAAAUCAGACAACCAAGACUCAAGUCCUGGCUCUGGCCCUCGCUGUGUGAUCUUGGAUAAGUCUCUUGGCCUCUCUGAGUCUCAGUUUCCUCAUCUGUAAUGUGGAAAUAGAGACCACACGACAGGGAUGCUGAGACCUUGAGCGACAUGUGAAGUCAAAUAAGCAGAUGCCAGUUUCUUUCCUUCCUUCUCCUCUCCUGGCCCUGAAGAAUCCAGCGCCCUGAGGGAUCCCCGGGGAGGGGGAGCAGAGCCUGCUGCUUCCAGCGUGGGAGUUCUUUGGGGUCCGUGGAUAGGUUUUACUGUGUUCAUGAACCCCUGAAAUAAUAACAAUAAUGCAUUUUUCUGGUUAGAAAGUCUACAGCUUUUAUCAAAUGCCCAAAGGGCUCCAUAAUGCCCCAAAACCAAGGACCACUGCUCUGAGGUUGGGUCUGGUCUCCUGUCCUGUGCUACCCCAGGCCCAGUCGUCAGGCCAUCUGCCAGCCUUGCUGGCCAUCGAGCCCUGGCCAGGACCUAGUUCUCAGGAGGGUGCAGCCCGGAUCUGGGCUGGUGCAGGGAACAAAGGGCCCAGGUGGAGGGGCCCUUCUGAAGGGCCACAGGGCUGUGCAUGUCACUCCUUCAAUCGUCCCUGAGCCCUGGGAUGCAAGAGCUGUUAUCAUCCCCACUUUGGAGGAGAGGAAACUGAGGCUCAGAGAAGGGGCGGGAGGGCACACAGCUAGAGGCAGUGUGGGAUUUGGACCCUGUGCCAGCUGAUUCUGGAGCCUGUGCUCUUUCCACGGUGGCACAGGGGACCCAGGCAGUCUUUGGGGGUCCCAAGAUGGGAAUAGGGCUGCAGGAUACAGCAAUUCGCUUGUACCCUGCCCAGGGCCCCUGGUUGAGGGAGCGCAUUGGAGAGUGAAAAGCAUCUUAAAGGCAGCCGAGUUCCACCAGCUGGGGCUUGCACCCAGGGCCGUCAAUAGCCUGGAGGAAGAGCAAGCUUUUGGGAAGGGUUGCACCCCGAGGGGUGCUCCUCUCUAAUUGGCUGCUCAGAGGGAUGCCUUUUUCUAGCUCCAACAAAGCCCCUAGAUGGGCUCCCUGCAAUCCUGGUGGAAACACGUUUUCAAAGGCGAGCAUGUUGGCGGGAACUGAGGCGCUCGGCCCAGCUUCUAAAAUGAUGCUUCUGAGUGGACUCCCGGGGGGCCAGGGCCUGGGAAGAGCCAGCUCAGCUUCAGCAGGUGGGAGACAGUGCCUGACACUCUCCCAGGCAGCCAGGGCCCAUGAGCAGGGGGCUUAGGACCCUGUGCAUUCUGCUCGGCUGCCCCCUCCAACCUCACCUCGCCCCCCGUCUCUCACCCCCGCUCACCAUGGGAAUCCCGGGCAUCGGAGGCGGGGCCCCAUCUGCCAUCAUUUUCCGAGCCGCGUUGAUCCAACGGUGCUAGCUUUCUAGGGAAGGGUGGGCAAGCCUUCCUGGUCCCCUAGAACGUCCCCCCAUCACUGGACAUCUGCCAGGAUGGGUGGCUGCUCCUCCCAGGCAGGCCCGAUGGCCACUUGUAAGGACUGACCACCAGGGGCCUCCAGCACCCAGCUUCCCUCUCUUCUCCUCUUCCCAACCCCCUCCCUGCCACCACCUCCAGCCUGAUUAAUUCCCCCAAAUCUGCCAUGCCACAAUGACUAAUCAGGCGCAUGCCCCACUAAUUGGCACUCAGAGACUUGACAAAUGGCUCUGCUUGCGGGAUUCUGGGGCUCAGCCGCCUUAACUUCCCACGCCCAAACGACCCCAGGUUUGCCCCUAAGAUAAGUGAGCUGGAACCUUGUUGGGGAGGGGGAGCAGAGGACCCAGGACAGAAGGGAAAGCCGCCACAACCCUCUGAUUAACUCAGCUCUGCCACUUCCUGGCUGUGUGACUUGGAGCAGAUUGUCUCCCUCUCUGAGCUCAGCCUUCAGGCUCCUGCCUUCUCUGAACUGGGCCUUGUCUCCAGCUUUAGCCCCUCAGGCCCCUUGUCCCCACCAUUCCAUCCAACCUGCCCAACAGAAGUGGCUUAGUCCCAGCUCUCUGGGG